RNAcentral lists this transfer RNA (69 nucleotides) under Callimerus sp. Its description in RNAcentral is "tRNA-Asp". It matches the Rfam family "tRNA". From Rfam's summary of the family: Transfer RNA (tRNA) molecules are approximately 80 nucleotides in length. Lineage: Eukaryota; Metazoa; Arthropoda; Insecta; Coleoptera; Cleridae. The record is from RNAcentral.
AAAAAUUUAGUUAAAUAAAUAACAUUAGCUUGUCAAGCUAAAAUUAUUAAAUAAAAUUAAUAAUUUUUA